Molecule: long non-coding RNA, 3390 nt
Filed under: Coffea arabica (coffee)
Lineage: Eukaryota; Viridiplantae; Streptophyta; Magnoliopsida; Gentianales; Rubiaceae
Description: long non-coding RNA (CARA_LNC003373)
Source: RNAcentral
GCUUUCCUGUUUUGGAGCAAAAGGACAAACAGUUUGUGAAGAUGAUAGCUUCUAUGAGAAUUUCAAUAUGGAUGAAGUUGACUUGAGUAUUGAGAAUUAUGAUGAACUUUUUGGAGCAGCUCUUGAUAAUCCUGAAAAGCUUUUCGAAAAUGAUGAUAUUGAUGGUCUUUUCGGGAUGGAGAUAUCUGGUGCCGAUUCCAACUGCCAGGAUGCACAUCUCAUGGAGGUUAUAUCUAUCAUCAUCAUAAGCUUUUUCUUUUCUGUAGUAAUCUGGUUUUCUGUAGCCUUCUUUUGUUUUAUUCCAGUUAUAUGGGAAAAUUUUCCUCACUGGUGUUGCAUGCAACCCCAAUUUUGAUUUUCUAAUUGUUACUUUUAUCUAUUAUGACUCUGUCCUGGAUGUCUCUUUGCUCUUAAUAAUGACUACAUUUGAGCUGAACAUGCUUUUCUGGCAUACUCUGAUGUUUCUGCUUUGUCUUCUAUUUUUAACUUAUUCUGUGAUCCUUGCAUUACAUGUUCAGUCCUCAAUAGCUUGUGCAGAAGAAGAUUAAAACUGAAAUGCUGAAAUAGCAUAACUUUUCCGUGUUAAGAAACUUUUUCAAGUAACAAGAUGACCAGGUUAGGUAAGAUGAUAAGACCUAGUAGUUAAAAGUAUCCUAGAGACUCCUGGCCUUAGUUCGAAUCUUUCUUCCAGCACAUGUCAUCUAUUAAAGAGGAAAUGCGUAUUAUUUUAUGUAUCUGAAAUUAGACGAAUUGAUUGAAUUGCAGAUUUUUUCUGGCAUCUUAAUAUUAUAAUUACCUAUUAUCUAAACAAAAGCUGUUCAAGGUUAUUGGAGAGCUAACAAAAGGGAGGUUCUCUGGUGAGUCUACACUGCUUCCCAAAAAAAAAAAAAAACAAAAACAAAGAAAAGGAGGCAAAGUCUUAAGGUCAGGAAACGGCUUUGCCUAUAAGUUCGCAUGAAACUGGAAGUUACAGGUUUUUAUUGUGGUCAAUUGGUUUGACAUAUUUGAGUGCAAUUAAACACCUGUUUUUUCAGAUGCUAACAAACUGACACUGUUAAUCAAUUGUACAAAAAACAUGGAUUUACAAGUGUAUCUCAUAGCAUGCAUUAUAAUCACUACCAUUGCUUUCUAAGGUUCUGAUAUUGACGAUAAGGAACUUUUCUCUUUUAAUUUUUCCUGCAAUUUUAUUCUUUUAGAGUGUGUUUGUAUGAGGAAUUAACUCCUGGAUAAUAUUGGGAAUGUUUCGGGGGAUAUGUUCUGUGAUGUGAGAAUAUGGAGUUAUAGCUACUACUAUUUUAUCAUGCCACCAGUAAAGGUGCUGUCAAUGAGGUUGGCCAGUUUUACCAAUCAAUCUAUACAGGCUACCCACUUAUUUUAACAAGUAUUACAGUACUUUUUCUGUCAUAGCCCCCCUUUCAUCCAAUAAGUUUAAAUUGCUUUAUCAUUCUUUUUUGCAUAUUCAAUAUGUCCUUGAGUUUUUGCUUAUCUGUCAAAGAAUUUGUGUGCCUUUUCUUUUUCUUCUUGUUCAGUUUGUUGUUGCUCAAUAUAUUUGAUGUGCAUCCAUAGCUUUUCCAUUUUGCUCUUUCUUUUAUUAUUUUCAUUAUAUAAAUAUUGUUGUUAUUAUUUUUAUUGUUAAUUUGUUAGUAUGACUGCACUGAUUUGUUUGGUUAUAUGUUUCUUGCUCUGAUAUUGGUAUUGCUACAGUGCUUGUACUGAAAGUAUGUACAGUUCAAACGUGUAUGCAUUUUGUGUUAUUAGUCAGUAGCGAAGAUGUUUCCAUAUGGACAAACUCUGUCUCUAGGUCUUUUCUAGUGACAUGGGAAACAUCUUCUGUCAUCCGGAGAGAGAGAGAGAGAGAGAGAAUUUGUGUAGAACUGCAUUGGAAUGGUGCAAAUUGAGUGUCAUCUAUUAUGACAGUCUUGUUUAAGCUUCUUCCCAACUUCCUUUGGCAUCUUCUAGGCUCAUUUUGGUAAACUGUUCAAUCUUUUCUCAUCUUGCUUCUGUUUAAUGUGCUUGGCUUUGUACGAUGUUUGUCAGGGGUCAUCAAUGGGGCGUAUUAAUGGCAUACAGCCAGCAUGCAGCACUGCAGCUUCUGCAGAUUCCAUGAUGAGCUGUAAGACAGAACCUAAUAUAUGUUUUGCUCGGCAAGCUCACUCGAGCCUCUCAUUUUCUGGUCUAACUGGAGAGAGUAGUGCUGGUGAUUAUCAGGACUGUGGGGCCUCUUCAUUGCUUCUUAUGGGUGAGCCACCGUGGUGUCCUCCAUGCCCUGAGAGUUCAAAUCUUGCAAGUAGCCGGAGCAAUGCUGUAAUGCGUUAUAAAGAAAAGAAAAAGACACGCAAGUAAGACUUACUUUCUGUCUCCCAUUCAAUUUGUUUUUGCUUGAGUUAGCUGUAGACGCUACUAAGCUUUUUAUUAGCUGCCUUAUAGACAUCCACUUAAGUAGUUGAUUUUCAGGAUCAUCUAACAUUUAGUUAAGAAUGUUCUCCUGUCCUGAUUCAUUAGAAAUUUGUUCACUUGGCUGGUAUUACGACGCUAAUGCUCCAUACUUUGCUUUAAUGCCAUUCCUUUGAUCUCGUAAGAGUUCCAUUCUAGUAUUAACAUUUUCUAUUUGUUGCUCUGGUCUGUGACUCUCUUGAUUCAGGAUCAUUUAGCAUUUAGUCAAGAAUGUUCUCCCAUCCAUCCGGAUUUAUUAGAAAUAUGUUCACUUGGGUGGUAUCACAGACACUAAUGCUCCAUAUUUUGCUUUUAUACUGGUCCUAUCAGCUCAUAGGAGUUCAAUUCUUGUAUUAGCGUUUGCUAUUUGUUGCUCUGGUAUUUGACUCUCCUGAUUUUAAAACUAUUAUAGAUUUGAGAAGAAAGUAAGGUAUGCUUCUCGCAAGGCAAGAGCUGAUGUUAGAAGGCGCGUGAAGGGACGCUUUGUCAAAGCUGGUGAUGCUUAUGAUUAUGACCCGAUGACUCCAACUAGAAGCUACUGAGAGUAAAGUUUUUAAUCAUAAGCACAGGGAAAGACAUGAUCAAUGUUAAAUUGGAAAAAGAAAAUUGGUUUAAAAUUCAUGGAAAUGGAUCAUUCCACACGGUUUCCCCCAUGCAAUGACAAGCUUCAUGAUUUUAUCUCAGGGAAGGGAGUUCUCUUUGAUUGAUGAAGUUGGAUGGAGGAAACUUGCCCCUUUGCUUCACCACUGAACUUCUAUAUGCUUUUUCAUGAUCCAAAAGAUGGAUCAUGAUCUGUGUACAGUAUGCAAAGAUUGACGUUGUUUCUCCGGAAUCAGGUGUCAGCUUCUCUUAGAUAUAGUUUUACGUGGUUUGCAUUUAUUGGAGAGGGACCAUGCGUCUCGGGUAUCAUCACUCUUUGACAUCUGUUUCAUUGGUUUCUUUGUACUCAUCUUACCU